Molecule: ribosomal RNA, 320 nt
Filed under: uncultured bacterium
Lineage: Bacteria
Description: bacterial SSU rRNA
Rfam family: Bacterial small subunit ribosomal RNA
Source: RNAcentral
GAUCGAACGCCUAGCCGAGUAGGCUUAACACAUGCAAGUCGAGGGGUACAUGGGAGUAGGCUUGCUACGUUCUGAUGACGACCGGCGGGUGGGUGAGUAACGCGUAUGCAACUUGCCUCUUAGUGGGGAAUAACCCGGAGAAAUCCGGACUAAUACCGCAUACACUUAGUUAUCCGCAUGGAUGAUUAAGGAAAGAUUUAUUGCUAAGAGAUAGGCAUGCGUUCCAUUAGUUGGUUGGUGAGGUAACGGCUCACCAAGGCAUCGAUGGAUAGGGGAGCCGAGAGGCUUAUCCCCCACAUUGGGACUGAGACACGGCCCAA